This 465-nucleotide ribosomal RNA is filed under the name uncultured bacterium. Its description in RNAcentral is "partial 16S ribosomal RNA". It matches the Rfam family "Bacterial small subunit ribosomal RNA", at positions 28 to 507 of the family's 1533-position model. The record is from RNAcentral.
GACGAACGCUGGCGGCGUGCUUAACACAUGCAAGUCGAACGGAAAGGCCCUGCUUGCAGGGUACUCGAGUGGCGAACGGGUGAGUAACACGUGGGUGAUCUGCCCUGCACUUCGGGAUAAGCCUGGGAAACUGGGUCUAAUACCGGAUAGGAGCCAUUUUUAGUGUGAUGGUUGGAAAGUUUUUUCGGUGUAGGAUGAGCUCGCGGCCUAUCAGCUUGUUGGUGGGGUAAUGGCCUACCAAGGCGGCGACGGGUAGCCGGCCUGAGAGGGUGGACGGCCACAUUGGGACUGAGAUACGGCCCAGACUCCUACGGGAGGCAGCAGUGGGGAAUAUUGCACAAUGGGCGCAAGCCUGACGCAGCGACGCCGCGUGGGGGAUGACGGCCUUCGGGUUGUAAACUCCUUUCGCUAGGGACGAAGCUUUUUGUGACGGUACCUAGAGAAGAAGCACCGGCUAACUACGUG